AGAGUUUGAUCCUGGCUCAGGAUGAACGCUGGCGGCGUGCUUAACACAUGCAAGUCGAACGAUCCUUCGGGAUAGUGGCGGACGGGUGAGUAACGCGUGGGAAUCUGCCCUUAGGAGGGGGAUAACGGCUGGAAACGGCCUCUAAUACCCCAUAUGCCGAGAGGUGAAACGAAUUUCGCCUGAGGAUGAGCCCGCGUCUGAUUAGCUAGUUGGUGGGGUAAAGGCCUACCAAGGCGACGAUCAGUAGCUGGUCUGAGAGGAUGAUCAGCCACACUGGGACUGAGACACGGCCCAGACUCCUACGGGAGGCAGCAGUGGGGAAUUUUCCGCAAUGGGCGAAAGCCUGACGGAGCAACGCCGCGUGAGGGAUGAAGGCCUCUGGGCUGUAAACCCCUUUUCUCAAGGAAGAAGAACUGACGGUACUUGAGGAAUAAGCCACGGCUAAUUCCGUGCCAGCAGCCGCGGUAAUACGGGAGUGGCAAGCGUUAUCCGGAAUUAUUGGGCGUAAAGCGUCCGCAGGCGGCCUUGUAAGUCUGUUGUUAAAGCGUGGAGCUCAACUCCAUUUAAGCAAUGGAAACUACAAGGCUGGAGUGUGGUAGGGGCAGAGGGAAUUCCCGGUGUAGCGGUGAAAUGCGUAGAUAUCGGGAAGAACACCAGUGGCGAAGGCGCUCUGCUGGGCCAUAACUGACGCUCAUGGACGAAAGCCAGGGGAGCGAAAGGGAUUAGAUACCCCUGUAGUCCUGGCCGUAAACGAUGAACACUAGGUGUCGGGGGAAUCGACCCCCUCGGUGUCGUAGCCAACGCGUUAAGUGUUCCGCCUGGGGAGUACGCACGCAAGUGUGAAACUCAAAGGAAUUGACGGGGGCCCGCACAAGCGGUGGAGUAUGUGGUUUAAUUCGAUGCAACGCGAAGAACCUUACCAGGGUUUGACAUCCUGCGAAUCCCUUGGAAACGAGGGAGUGCCUUCGGGAGCGCAGUGACAGGUGGUGCAUGGCUGUCGUCAGCUCGUGUCGUGAGAUGUUGGGUUAAGUCCCGCAACGAGCGCAACCCACGUCUUUAGUUGCCAGCAUUCAGUUGGGCACUCUAGAGAGACCGCCGGUGAUAAACCGGAGGAAGGUGUGGAUGACGUCAAGUCAUCAUGCCCCUUACAUCCUGGGCUACACACGUACUACAAUGCUACGGACAAAGGGCAGCAAGCUCGCGAGAGUUAGCAAAUCCCAUAAACCGUGGCUCAGUUCAGAUCGUAGGCUGCAACUCGCCUACGUGAAGGAGGAAUCGCUAGUAAUCGCAGGUCAGCAUACUGCGGUGAAUACGUUCCCGGGCCUUGUACACACCGCCCGUCACACCAUGGAAGUUGGCCAUGCCCGAAGUCU
This 1373-nucleotide ribosomal RNA is filed under the name metagenome. Its description in RNAcentral is "bacterial SSU rRNA". It matches the Rfam family "Bacterial small subunit ribosomal RNA". The record is from RNAcentral.